Molecule: non-coding RNA, 240 nt
Organism: Pelobates cultripes (western spadefoot toad)
Lineage: Eukaryota; Metazoa; Chordata; Amphibia; Anura; Pelobatidae
Source: the annotation of a GenBank genome assembly
CAUUUCUAUAGAGUGAGUGCUUCUCUCAUCCAUACAAGGCAUUCUAAAGGGAAAUUAUGUAUUCAAAAUUUUAUAAAGGACAAAUUCAAUGAAUUAUAAGCAAAACUGAGAGAAGUACAUGUUACACUAGUUAAGAGUUUAACUUUAGUCUCUAAUUUGAGUUUAGCCUAGGUAAUUAAUUAAUGAUGUUGUAUUGAUCCUUGUGUUUGUAUGAUUGUAGAGACCGUCCUGGAGUGUUUG